This 440-nucleotide ribosomal RNA is filed under the name uncultured bacterium. Its description in RNAcentral is "partial 16S ribosomal RNA". It matches the Rfam family "Bacterial small subunit ribosomal RNA", at positions 338 to 795 of the family's 1533-position model. The record is from RNAcentral.
CCUACGGGAGGCUGCAGUGGGGAAUAUUGCACAAUGGGGGAAACCCUGAUGCAGCGACGCCGCGUGAGCGAAGAAGUAUCUCGGUAUGUAAAGCUCUAUCAGCAGGGAAGCAAAUGACGGUACCUGACUAAGAAGCCCCGUCUAACUACGUGCCAGGAGCCGCGGGAAUACGUAGGGAGCAAGCGUUAUCCGGAUUUACUGGGUGUAAAGGGGGCGUAGACGGGCGUGCAAGUCAGGUGUGAAAGCCCGGGGCUUAACCCCGGGACUGCCUUUGGAACUGUGAGGCUAGAGUGCAGGAGGGGUAGGCGGAAUUCGUAGUGUAGCGGUGAAAUGCGUAGAUAUUAGGAGGAACACCGGUUGCGAAGGCAGCUUACUGGACGGUGACUGACGUUGAGGCUCGAAAGCGUGGGGAGCAAACAGGAUUAGAUACCCCUGUAGUC